UUACUGGAUUUUCAGAUUAGCUACUGACAAGCAGCCCCAAAGAAGAAAGGCACACUAAGCUUACAUUAUAUUGGGAAGUUGAGAAAUAUUAGGAGGUUACUUACGCUGGAUUUUAUUCCAUGUAGAGACAGAGGUUUAUAAAGAGUAUAAUUUUUUGUGAUAUCUAUCAUUUGCCAUGUAACUUAUGUUUAAUUGAACCUUAGAUUUGUUUCAUAUUUCAUGCUUGUACAUUGUUGUUCUAGAUGUUCUUGACUUUACCUUUAUGCUUACCCUAUUGUGUUGGAUUAUUAUUGCUACUGAGUAUUUGUUAAUGGAUUCAUGUUUCCUUCCA
This is a long non-coding RNA of Gossypium raimondii (Peruvian cotton), 331 nucleotides long. RefSeq lists it as uncharacterized. The record is from RefSeq and is a predicted model, not a curated record. Lineage: Eukaryota; Viridiplantae; Streptophyta; Magnoliopsida; Malvales; Malvaceae. The transcript is spliced from 2 exons.